GGAGGAAGGUGGGGAUGACGUCAAGUCCUCAUGGCCCUUACGGGCUGGGCUACACACGUGCUACAAUGGCGGUGACAGUGGGCAGCGACCUCGCGAGGGGUAGCUAAUCUCUAAAAGCCGUCUCAGUUCGGAUUGUUCUCUGCAACUCGAGAGCAUGAAGUUGGAAUCGCUAGUAAUCGCGUAACAGCAUGACGCGGUGAAUACGUUCCCGGGCCUUGUACACACCGCCCGU
This 232-nucleotide ribosomal RNA is filed under the name Pseudovibrio sp. RNAcentral's name for it is "partial 16S ribosomal RNA". It matches the Rfam family "Bacterial small subunit ribosomal RNA", at positions 1165 to 1397 of the family's 1533-position model. The record is from RNAcentral. Lineage: Bacteria; Pseudomonadati; Pseudomonadota; Alphaproteobacteria; Hyphomicrobiales; Stappiaceae.